This 483-nucleotide ribosomal RNA is filed under the name uncultured bacterium. RNAcentral describes it as "partial 16S ribosomal RNA". It matches the Rfam family "Bacterial small subunit ribosomal RNA", at positions 30 to 506 of the family's 1533-position model. The record is from RNAcentral.
AUUGAACGCUGGCGGCAGGCCUAACACAUGCAAGUCGAGCGGAUGAAGGGAGCUUGCUCCUGGAUUCAGCGGCGGACGGGUGAGUAAUGCCUAGGAAUCUGCCUGGUAGUGGGGGAUAACGUCCGGAAACGGGCGCUAAUACCGCAUACGUCCUGAGGGAGAAAGUGGGGGAUCUUCGGACCUCACGCUAUCAGAUGAGCCUAGGUCGGAUUAGCUAGUUGGUGGGGUAAAGGCCUACCAAGGCGACGAUCCGUAACUGGUCUGAGAGGAUGAUCAGUCAAACGGGAACUGGAGCCGGGUCCAGCCUCCUAGGGGAGGCAGGAGUGGGGAAUAUGGGAAAAGGGGGGAAAGCCUGAUCCAGCCAGGCCGGGUGGGUGAAGAAGGUCUUCGGAUUGUAAAGCUCUUUAAGUUGGGAGGAAGGGCAGUAAGUUAAAACCUUGCUGUUUUGACGUUACCAACAAAAUAAGCACCGGCUAACUUCGU